Molecule: long non-coding RNA, 312 nt
Filed under: Elaeis guineensis (African oil palm)
Lineage: Eukaryota; Viridiplantae; Streptophyta; Magnoliopsida; Arecales; Arecaceae
Description: long non-coding RNA (EGUI_LNC027217)
Source: RNAcentral
GUGUGAAUGUUCUGUAAAGGUUGAAUGUCUUUGUGCGGCUGCGAAUAACUUGAAAGAGCAUCUAUCUAAGUGUUGGACCAGUAGAGAUCAGAAGUUUAUAGUUUGAUAAUGGUUUCUGAACUUAUUUGAUCAUUUUUGAUAGAUCUAAGAGUUAAAUCUAGAUUGCAGCAUCGAUUAGAUCGAUGCAAAUUUUAUUUUCAGAUCUUAUAUGCAUGUUAAAUCAUAUUAUAUAUCUUGAUAUAAUAGUCUAAAUUAGAUCUUAUGCAUGUAAAUUAGGUUAAAUUAUUUAAUCUAAUACUUUUACUGUACAAA